GUAUUCCCAUCAGCAGCACACAUACUAACAUUGGAAGAUUAGCCUGGCCCCUGUGCAAGGAUGACUUGCAAAUUUGUGAAAUAUUCCAUUAAAAA
This 95-nucleotide small nuclear RNA is filed under the name Tupaia belangeri chinensis (Chinese tree shrew). The record is from RNAcentral. Lineage: Eukaryota; Metazoa; Chordata; Mammalia; Scandentia; Tupaiidae.